RNAcentral lists this ribosomal RNA (497 nucleotides) under uncultured bacterium. RNAcentral describes it as "partial 16S ribosomal RNA". It matches the Rfam family "Bacterial small subunit ribosomal RNA", at positions 28 to 507 of the family's 1533-position model. The record is from RNAcentral.
GAUGAACGCUGGCGGCGUGCCUAAUACAUGCCAGUCGAGCGAACGGACGAGAAGCUUGCUUCUCUGAUGUUAGCGGCGAACGGGUGAGUAACACGUAAAGAACCUGCCUCAUAGACUGGGACAACUAUUGGAAACGAUAGCUAAUACCGGAUAACAGUAUUUCUCGCAUGGGAGAUAUUUAAAAGUUGGUUAUGCUAACACUAUGAGAUGGCUUUGCGGUGCAUUAGCUAGUUGGUGGGGUAAAGGCCCACCAAGGCGACGAUGCAUAGCCGACCUGAGAGGGUGAUCGGCCACACUGGGACUGAGACACGGCCCAGACUCCUACGGGAGGCAGCAGUAGGGAAUCUUCCGCAAUGGGCGAAAGCCUGACGGAGCAACGCCGCGUGAGUGAAGAAGGAUUUCGGUUCGUAAAGCUCUGUUGUUAGGGAAGAAUGGAUAUGUAGUAACUAUACAUGUAAGAGACGGUACCUAACCAGAAAGCCACGGCUAACUACGUG